Meriones unguiculatus (Mongolian gerbil) is the source of this 612-nucleotide long non-coding RNA. RefSeq lists it as uncharacterized. The transcript is spliced from 3 exons. The record is from RefSeq and is a predicted model, not a curated record. Lineage: Eukaryota; Metazoa; Chordata; Mammalia; Rodentia; Muridae.
UCUGGUGACAGGGGAACUGUAGGUCUGAAGAAAUCACAGGGGAUGUCUCUGGCUCAGCCACUGGAGAAGGUGUAGCCUGGGUUGCAGAGGGAGCCAGCCUGCUGCACAUGUCAGACAAUGAGAAGACCACCAAGGACAGCAACAGACGGCAUGAAACCCAGCUGUGCCAACCAGAAGAGGUGCAUUUGGAGUAGCUGCAGAGCUGAGAGGCAGGGCUACCCAAGGCCUUUGGAGCCCAAACGAUCAUGAGUUAAUGCAGGACGCCAUCCACUUCUGACCUUGGGCUAGGCUUUGAGUUGACUGUGACUGUGCCCUGGUGCCUCUUUUUUGAAACUUCCAGAGAGCUUAUGGCCACAGAAGAGCCUCAUAAGGACAUCUAUUCACUCCCAUCUACUUAUAAAGAGUGAUCUUGUACUGAAGGAUAGAUGGAGAGCGCAAUCUGUCCUGAAGCUGUUGUCUGAACUUCAAAGAUGUGUAGGAUGUCAUAGGUCCACAUGGCAGUGGAUAUAUUAGCACAUGUCUGUGGAAGCCAGACAACAACCCUGGGCAUGCUUAGGCACUAUCUACCUUUUCUUCUCCUACCGUUGGAAUAAGACAGGGUUUCUCACCGUG